RNAcentral lists this ribosomal RNA (935 nucleotides) under uncultured bacterium. RNAcentral's name for it is "bacterial SSU rRNA". It matches the Rfam family "Bacterial small subunit ribosomal RNA", at positions 49 to 959 of the family's 1533-position model. The record is from RNAcentral.
UCAGACAUGCAAGUCGAACGCGAAAGGCCCCUUCGGGGGCCGAGUAGAGUGGCGCACGGGUGAGUAACACGUAGGUAAUUUACCUUCGGGUGGGGAAUAACUCAGGGAAACUUGAGCUAAUACCGCAUAAUGCAGCGGCUCGACAUCGAGACAGUUGUUAAAGCGGGGGAUCCUUCGGGACCUCGCGCCUGAAGAGAAGCCUGCGGCAGAUUAGCUAGUUGGUAGGGUAAUGGCCUACCAAGGCGACGAUCUGUAACCGGCCUGAGAGGGCGGUCGGUCACACUGACACUGACAUACGGGUCAGACUCCUACGGGAGGCAGCAGUCGGGAAUUUUGGGCAAUGGGCGAAAGCCUGACCCAGCAACGCCGCGUGAAGGAUGAAAUUUUUCGGAAUGUAAACUUCGCAAGAACGGGAAGAAUAAGUGGGGGACAAUACCCCCCAUGAUGACGGUACCGUUUGUAAGCUCCGGCUAACUCCGUGCCAGCAGCCGCGGUAAUACGGGGGGAGCAAGCGUUGUUCGGAUUUACUGGGCGUAAAGGGCGCGUAGGCGGCGUGACAAGUCACUUGUGAAAUCUCCGGACUUAACUCGGAACGGUCAAGUGAUACUGUCGUGCUAGAGUACAGAAGGGGCAACUGGAAUUCUCGGUGUAGCGGUGAAAUGCGUAGAUAUCGAGAGGAACACCUGCGGCGAAGGCGGGUUGCUGGGCUGAUACUGACGCUGAUGCGCGAAAGCUAGGGGAGCGAACGGGAUUAGAUACCCCGGUAGUCCUAGCCUUAAACGAUGAAUGCUUGGUGUCUCGGGUUAUAAAGUCCCGGGGUGCCGUCGCUAACGCUUUUAGCAUUCCGCCUGGGGAGUACGGUCGCAAGACUGAAACUCAAAGGAAUUGACGGGGACCCGCACAAGCGGUGGAGCAUGUGGUUUAAUUCGACGCAA